This 87-nucleotide transfer RNA is filed under the name Candidatus Kaiserbacteria bacterium. RNAcentral describes it as "tRNA-Ser". It matches the Rfam family "tRNA". Rfam says of the family: Transfer RNA (tRNA) molecules are approximately 80 nucleotides in length. Their secondary structure includes four short double-helical elements and three loops (D, anti-codon, and T loops). The record is from RNAcentral. Lineage: Bacteria; Candidatus Kaiseribacteriota.
GGUGAGGUGGCUGAGUGGUCGAAAGCACCACACUCGAAAUGUGGCGUACCCGUAAAGGUACCGUGGGUUCGAAUCCCACCCUCACCG